RNAcentral lists this ribosomal RNA (467 nucleotides) under uncultured bacterium. Its description in RNAcentral is "partial 16S ribosomal RNA". It matches the Rfam family "Bacterial small subunit ribosomal RNA", at positions 29 to 507 of the family's 1533-position model. The record is from RNAcentral.
ACGCACGCUGGCGGCGUGCUUAACACCUGCAAGUCGAACGGAAAGGCCCUGCUUUUGUGGGGUGCUCGAGUGGCGAACGGGUGAGUAACACGUGAGUAACCUGCCCUUGACUUUGGGAUAACUUCAGGAAACUGGGGCUAAUACCGGAUAGGAGCUCCUGCUGCAUGGUGGGGGUUGGAAAGUUUCGGCGGUUGGGGAUGGACUCGCGGCUUAUCAGCUUGUUGGUGGGGUAGUGGCUUACCAAGGCUUUGACGGGUAGCCGGCCUGAGAGGGUGACCGGCCAAAUUGGGACUGAGAUACGGCCCAGACUCCUACGGGAGGCAGCAGUGGGGAAUAUUGCACAAUGGGCGGAAGCCUGAUGCAGCAACGCCGCGUGCGGGAUGACGGCCUUCGGGUUGUAAACCGCUUUCGCCUGUGACGAAGCGUGAGUGACGGUAAUGGGUAAAGAAGCACCGGCUAACUACGUG